Molecule: long non-coding RNA, 1366 nt
Filed under: Pan troglodytes (chimpanzee)
Lineage: Eukaryota; Metazoa; Chordata; Mammalia; Primates; Hominidae
Description: long non-coding RNA NONPTRT018282
Source: RNAcentral
AAUGAUUAUUUUUGCUGUACUUUACACAAAUAAUCAGGCUAAGUGUAAGACUAUGGCGUAUUUUUGCAAACAAAUCAGCCCUGUUAGGAUUUGUCUUUAGUAAAAAUGGGAGAAUGGAGAGAUAGAAAAAACAUAUUUUAAAAACAAUGGUACACUUGUUAUAAAAUUGUGAUCUCAUCAGUUAUUUUUGAGUUUUCUUUCUACGAUUUAGACUGAACCUGCUUAUUUCUGUGAACCAACCAGUGAUCUCUUAUGGCUGUUCAAAAGUAACAAGAGAGAUAUCACCUUUUGUCAUAACUCAAGUCUUAUGAAUGGCCCUCACCAUAACGAUGCUUUUUGACUGAGCUCUUCUCUAACCUGAAUGCAAGAGGUUAGGCAUGAAUAUCAUCCCCCCUGUUCAGCCUGAAGAAGUUACAGAAGAUGAAUCUUCCUCUCUCUACAGCCCUUAGGAUUAAGGGUUCUCUUACUGAAUGUAUUCUUAAAUUGAACACUUAUUAAUCUUCCAGAUAUCACCUUUUGUCAUAACUCAAGAGUUAUGAAUGGCCUUCACCAUAAUGAUGCUUUUUGACUGAGCUCUUCUCUAACCUGAAUGCAAGAGGUUAGGCAUGAAUAUCAUCCCCCCUGUUCAGCCUGAAGAAGUUACAGAAGAUGAAUCUUCCUCUCUCUACAGCCCUUAGGAUUAAGGGUUCUCUUAUAAAAGGGAGGGGGUAAAUAUGUCAGAGGCAUUUGAACCAGAGAAACUCCAUCUUGAAUAGUCCCUGUGUAAAAUAAGACUGAGACCUACUGGGAUGCAUUCCCAGGAGGUUAGGCAUUCUAAUUCACAGGAUGAGAUAAGAAGUCUCCACAAGAUACAGAUUAUAAAGAUUUGGCUGAUAAAACUGUUUGUGAUAAAGAAGCUGGCCAAAACACACCAAAACCAAGAUGCCAACAAAAGUGUCCUCUGGUUGUCCUCACUGCUCAUUAUAUGCUAAUUAUAAUGCAUUAGCAUGUUAAAAGACACUCCCACCAGUGCAAUGACAAUGUACAAAUGCCUUGGCAACAUCAAGAAGUUACCCUAUGUGGUUUAAAAAUGGUAGGAACCCUCAGUUCUGGGAAUUGCCCACCCCUUUUCUGGAAAACUCAUGAAUAAUCCACCCCUUAUUUAGCAUAUAAUCAAGAAAUAACUGGAAGUAUCCUUAGUGAAGCAGCCCAAGCCACUACUCUUCCUAUGGAGUAGACAUUCUUUCAUUAGUUAACUUUAUUAAUAAACUUGCUUUCACUUUGUAGAUUCACCUCAAAUUAUUUCUUGCAUGAGAUCCAAGAACCCUUUCUUGGGGUCUGGAUCUGGACUCCUUUACAGUAACAAUGAGAUUUAAAAAUAUUAUUU